AUUGAACGCUGGCGGCAGGCCUAACACAUGCAAGUCGAGCGGAGCGGCGGAAGGGUGAGUAAUGCCUAGGAAUCUGCCUGGUAGUGGGGGAUAACGUCCGGAAACGGGCGCUAAUACCGCAUACUAUCAGAUGAGCCUAGGUCGGAGUAGCUAGUUGGUGGGGUAAAGGCGUACCAAGGCGACGAUCCGUAACUGGUAUGAGAGGAUGAUCAGUCACACUGGAAAUGAGACACGGGCCAGACUCCUACGGGCGGCAGCAUUGGGGAAGAUUGGACAAUGGGCGAAAGCCUUAUCCAGCCAUGCCGCGUGAAUGAAGAAGGCCUUCGGGUUGUAAAGUUCUUUCGGUAGCGAGGCGUUAACUACAGAAGAAGCACCGGCUAACUCCGUGCCAGCCGCCGCGGUAAGUC
RNAcentral lists this ribosomal RNA (407 nucleotides) under uncultured bacterium. Its description in RNAcentral is "partial 16S ribosomal RNA". It matches the Rfam family "Bacterial small subunit ribosomal RNA", at positions 30 to 526 of the family's 1533-position model. The record is from RNAcentral.